This is a long non-coding RNA of Patella vulgata (common limpet), 694 nucleotides long. RefSeq lists it as uncharacterized. The transcript is spliced from 4 exons. The record is from RefSeq and is a predicted model, not a curated record. Lineage: Eukaryota; Metazoa; Mollusca; Gastropoda; Patellidae.
AAGAUCAUGUAACAAAAGAAAUUAUAAAAGUAAAAAAAUGGAAGAAGAAAUGGCUGGAAAAAAUGAUGAUAGAGCAGCUUUUUCUUGUUAGCCACCUCGGAAGAUCAAGACAGCUGGAAAGGGCUAUUGAUAUUGUGGAAGUGUUUUCUUACAGAGGUUGCUUAUCAGACAAAGGCUAUUUAACUACAUCAGAAAGAUAAAAACAGUUGGAAAUGGCUAUUCAUAUUGUGGAAACUUUUCUCACAGAGCUUGAUAAUCAGGCAAAAUGCUGGAACACCAUUGAAAGAGUAUUUGCUGUAUGAUAACAACAAGAAAACCCAAGCAUCAAUUUAUUUUAUACUUCUGGGAAAGAAUGCAUUUGACCCAAUUUUUAAAUAUUUAUUUUUUGUUAUUAAUGUUAAAUUUUCUUCCAAAACACAAUUAGAUUUUAAUUCUCUUCAGAAAUGUAUGUAUAAUAUAGCAAGUAAAGUGACAUAUAAAUCACUUAGAAUUUGGUCAGAAAUCAUAAAGUAUUUAAUAGGCAUUACUAGAAACCAAAUGUAGAUCAAAUACACCCAGAAUAACAAAAAACCUUGACCUACAUAAAGGUGACUUUCCCUUGCUUAUGAAAUGAAAUACGGUUUAGUAUCCUACUUUUCUGUGUUCUUAGAGUGAUUCUGCCCUACACCUUACUCUUAUAUCCAAUAUUUCAACU